RNAcentral lists this ribosomal RNA (497 nucleotides) under uncultured bacterium. RNAcentral's name for it is "partial 16S ribosomal RNA". It matches the Rfam family "Bacterial small subunit ribosomal RNA", at positions 28 to 507 of the family's 1533-position model. The record is from RNAcentral.
GAGGAAAGCGGGCGGCGUGCCUAAUACAUGCAAGUCGAGCGAACAGACGAGGAGCUUGCUCCUCUGACGUUAGCGGCGGACGGGUGAGUAACACGUGGAUAACCUACCUAUAAGACUGGGAUAACUUCGGGAAACCGGAGCUAAUACCGGAUAAUAUAUUGAACCGCAUGGUUCAAUAGUGAAAGACGGUUUUGCUGUCACUUAUAGAUGGAUCCGCGCCGCAUUAGCUAGUUGGUAAGGUAACGGCUUACCAAGGCAACGAUGCGUAGCCGACCUGAGAGGGUGAUCGGCCACACUGGAACUGAGACACGGUCCAGACUCCUACGGGAGGCAGCAGUAGGGAAUCUUCCGCAAUGGGCGAAAGCCUGACGGAGCAACGCCGCGUGAGUGAUGAAGGUCUUCGGAUCGUAAAACUCUGUUAUUAGGGAAGAACAAAUGUGUAAGUAGCUAUGCACGUCUUGACGGUACCUAAUCAGAAAGCCACGGCUAACUACGUG